Transfer RNA from Hypholoma sublateritium FD-334 SS-4, 110 nucleotides. It matches the Rfam family "tRNA". Rfam says of the family: Transfer RNA (tRNA) molecules are approximately 80 nucleotides in length. Their secondary structure includes four short double-helical elements and three loops (D, anti-codon, and T loops). Further hydrogen bonds mediate the characteristic L-shaped molecular structure. tRNAs have two regions of fundamental functional importance: the anti-codon, which is responsible for specific mRNA codon recognition, and the 3' end, to which the tRNAs corresponding amino acid is attached (by aminoacyl-tRNA synthetases). tRNAs cope with the degeneracy of the genetic code in two manners: having more than one tRNA (with a specific anti-codon) for a particular amino acid; and 'wobble' base-pairing, i.e. permitting non-standard base-pairing at the 3rd anti-codon position. Lineage: Eukaryota; Fungi; Basidiomycota; Agaricomycetes; Agaricales; Strophariaceae. The record is from Rfam.
GGCAAGAUGGCCGAGCGGUUAAGGCGUGUGACUCAAGCGUAAUUGCUUCCUGUUCUCUACAGGUUUCUCAUCACAGAAAUGUGGCAGGGGUUCGAGUCCCCUUCUUGUCA